AACACUGUAGCUCAGUUGAUAGAGCACCAGUUUCAUGACUGGAGGUCAAGGGUUCAAAUCCCUUCAGUGUUG
This 72-nucleotide transfer RNA is filed under the name Mytilus galloprovincialis (Mediterranean mussel). It matches the Rfam family "tRNA". Rfam says of the family: Transfer RNA (tRNA) molecules are approximately 80 nucleotides in length. Their secondary structure includes four short double-helical elements and three loops (D, anti-codon, and T loops). Lineage: Eukaryota; Metazoa; Mollusca; Bivalvia; Mytilida; Mytilidae. The record is from Rfam by way of RNAcentral.